AUGAUCAAAUAAGAAUUUAAAGUGCCUGGCUGGAUUGGGGGUCACCAAACUCAUUAGGAAGGGCCAUUUCAGUCUGAUGGUCAUGGUGGACACCAGACUCCAGUGCGCUGAAGACAGAAUGGGAAGUGAAGUAGUCAAAAUGGCAGGUAUAAGCAUUCCAAUGAGUUUGACAGUGAAAGAUAAAAGGAAGGGCACAGUGGAAUUGAGAGAGGUUUUCCUAAAAGUUGAGAAAGGCUCAAUCACAUUUAAAUACUGAAGGGAAGAAGUUCACUGAAAUUUCAAGAAGAGGAAUCGUGCAGUAGAACAUGGUUCCUGAAAAGGCAAAAGCGUAUGUGAUCUUGAAGAAAGGUGGAGGGAUUAGGCUUAGAUGAUAGAAGGAAGAGAAUAGAUUCAUCUUUCAUAGCAGCAAGUGGGAAGGGGGAAAGGGUGGCUCCUUGGGCACUGAGUCAGUCACAGGAAGAGGAAAAAGUUCCCAUCUGAUGCCUUCCAUUUUAAUAAAUAAAAGAAGUUGCUACAUCACCCAUGCCUCUGACUCUUAUAAAUUAGAUAGUAUUUCUUCUUUUAUCCAUUUUUCAUUUGCAAGAAUAGAGGGACAAGAAUGGUCAAUAGUUAAUUAUUUAAGAUGGUCAACGGUUACAUAAUAUUAUUGGUGUAUUCUUUUGAUAAUCCAUGGUUCUUUUUUUCAAUCCAUGAACCCACCAUCUCACACACACACACGCACACACACACCCCAAUUUGAACACAAAACAAGGUCUAAGCUGUCCUGUGACUCAUCAGUAUGUUCUCAAAUUGAUAACAUUUAUACUUAAGUUACAAAUCGGUACAGGAUACACUCAAAUAAUACGUGAUCUUCGAGUUGAAGUGUUGAAGUAAAUGUCUCCUGCAAAGAUGUAGGGCUCUCUCAUCAGGACACAGGGUACUGGAAAAUCACCUGCUAAGAAUGUGGCCAUUAUGUAGGUUUUGUGUGCAAAACAAAGGUAGAUGAGACUGUACCUUGGCGGAGCUGUCUGACGUGCCUCUGUCGCUGCCCAAGUGUUUCCCAUGCCCUUGGCGGACUCGGGAAGGGGAGGAGCCUGCCAGACCAGUUGCAAAGUGCAGAACAUGCCUCAGGGCCUCCAUUCACAAUCCAAUUUGCCUCAGUGACUGUGCCCAGCCUUCACACCACAAAGCUGACCUUUCAACACAGGUAUAGGAAUGUGCCUACCUCAAAAGUAAUCUGUAAAAAGUAAUCAAACUGGACUUCCCUGGUGGCACAGUGGUUAAGAAUCUACCUGCCAAUGCAGGGGACAACGGUUCGAGCCCUGGUGCAGGAAGAUACCUCAUGCCACGGAGGAACUAAGCCCGUGCGCCACAACUACUGAGCCUGCGCUCUAGAGCCCACAAGACACAACUAGUGAAGCCUGCGUGCCUAGAGCCUGUGCUCCACAACAAGAGAAGCCACCUCAAUGAGAAGCCCGCACACCACAAUGAAGAGUAGCCCCCACUCACCGCAACUAGAGAAAGCCCACGCACAGCAACGAAGACUCAAUGCAGCCAAAAAUAAAUAAAUAAAUUUAUUUUUUAAAAA
Molecule: long non-coding RNA, 1567 nt
Organism: Orcinus orca (killer whale)
Lineage: Eukaryota; Metazoa; Chordata; Mammalia; Artiodactyla; Delphinidae
Exons: 2
Source: RefSeq, a predicted model, not a curated record